UACGUAGGGUGCGAGCGUUGUCCGGAAUUAUUGGGCGUAAAGAGCUUGUAGGUGGUUUGUCGCGUCUGCUGUGAAAAUCCGAGGCUCAACCUCGGACUUGCAGUGGGUACGGGCAGACUAGAGUGUGGUAGGGGAGACUGGAAUUCCUGGUGUAGCGGUGGAAUGCGCAGAUAUCAGGAAGAACACCGAUGGCGAAGGCAGUUCUCUGGGACGGUACUGACGCUGAGACGCGAAAGCGUGGGGAGCGAACAGG
RNAcentral lists this ribosomal RNA (253 nucleotides) under uncultured bacterium. Its description in RNAcentral is "partial 16S ribosomal RNA". It matches the Rfam family "Bacterial small subunit ribosomal RNA", at positions 524 to 776 of the family's 1533-position model. The record is from RNAcentral.